This 170-nucleotide ribosomal RNA is filed under the name uncultured bacterium. Its description in RNAcentral is "partial 16S ribosomal RNA". It matches the Rfam family "Bacterial small subunit ribosomal RNA", at positions 338 to 524 of the family's 1533-position model. The record is from RNAcentral.
CCUACGGGAGGCAGCAGUGAGGAAUAUUGCGCAAUGGGGGAAACCCUGACGCAGCAACGCCGCGUGAGUGAUGAAGGCUUUCGAGUCGUAAAACUCUGUCUUUGGGGACGAAUAAUGACGGUACCCAAGGAGGAAGCCCCGGCUAACUACGUGCCAGCAGCCGCGGUAAU